AUGGUAUCAGAGCUAGGUUUCUGGUUUGAAGAGGUCUAACGUACUGUCUGAUGGCUAGCAAAUAUGCUGGAAUUAAUCCUACCUUGCCUACAAUUCCACUCUUCAAAGGCAGCGGGUAUGAAGUCUGGAGCACAAAGGUGAAGACUCUCUUCAUCUCCCAAGAUUUAUGGGAAUUGACAGACAGACACUAUGCAGAAAAAGGUGUGUCAGAUGAGUCUCUAAAAGAUCUUCGAAAGAGAGAUGCCAAAGCUGUCUUUUUCAUUUAACAAACAGUAGAUGAUUCAAUCUUCCCUCGAAUUUCUACAAUAACAAAAUUGAAGGAACCAUGGGGUGCACUCAAAAAUGGGUAUCAAGGAAUAGCUAAGGUGGUUACGGUCAAGCUUUAGACUUCGUUGGAAAUUUGAGAGCUCCUUUAUGAAAGAUGGUGAUUUCAUGCAUGACUACUUCAAUAGCUUGAUGGAAAUGGUGAAUCAAAUCUGAAAGUAUGGUGAACAGCUAUCUAAUUAGAAGGUUAUUGAGAAGAUUUUGAGGAGCUUACCAAGGAAAUAUGAAUCAGUGGUUGCUACCAUAGAAGAAUUUAAAGAUUUAUCAGUGCUUGCAGUUGAUGAGUUGUUGGGCUCUUUACAAUCUCAUGAAGAUAGGCAGAGAAGCUAUGAAGAAAGCUCUAUUGAAAAGGCCUUCCACACCAAAUUGCAGCUGUCUAAAGACAAUCACACAGUGGAAGAAUGCAGUAGUAGUAGUAACAAUUGCGGAGGCCAUUCUUUUCAAGGAAAAAGAGGUAG
Molecule: unclassified non-coding RNA, 782 nt
Filed under: Hevea brasiliensis (rubber tree)
Lineage: Eukaryota; Viridiplantae; Streptophyta; Magnoliopsida; Malpighiales; Euphorbiaceae
Source: RNAcentral